This is a long non-coding RNA of Asterias rubens (European starfish), 1744 nucleotides long. RefSeq lists it as uncharacterized. NCBI's taxonomy places the organism in Eukaryota, Metazoa, Echinodermata, Asteroidea, Forcipulatida, Asteriidae. The record is from RefSeq and is a predicted model, not a curated record. The transcript has 2 exons.
UGGAGAGGUUGUUUGCUAGACGUUUUGAAGCUGCACUGACGAUUACUAAAUUCUCAAAUUAUCCUGAAGUUCAAGCAGGAGAUUACAUCCAAAAUGUCGGGUAUUUUGAGAGGAGUCAUCACCAGAUCGGUACCCACCGUGAGGUCCGUGAUCACCCAAACACGUGGAAUUAGAGCAAGCAAACCAGAAACACCUCUUACAACCGUGGAGAAUGUAACGGGAAUAACAAUCAUUUCACUGGGAUGCUUAGCUGUACCCUGCUGGAUCAUGACACAUCUGGAGGACUACAAAGCUCGUGAUUAGGGAGAAGCAACGAGCGAGUCUUAACGUGAGUGUCUGCGAGUCUUCAUGAUGCACCAUUGAAAAGUACCAACAAACAGAAUUAGCCAGCAUAAGGACGUGGCUUUAUCAAGUGCUGCUUUGUCUUCACCAGAAGCAUUGUUCCAGCAAGCAACAGUUAGGCUGUGGAUUCCCUUGUGAAUUUGUCUUCAUUUCUGCACCUGUAUUAACAUUCUUGGAGAAGUUUCACAUUGCCGUGUAGUUCAGGACGCUUAACAUCUCCAAGACUAGCCAACAUCCUGGACACCAUGAAACACAGAAAACUAAAAAAUGCUGACUCUUCAGCUCUUACUUUUAUAAGCAACUAAACAAUGAUCACAUCUAAUUCCGAAUGUAUAAUAGGAGGACCAUGUCCUACAUUUUCAGAGCAGUAUUAUUUAAGUUCAAACGACAGAAUCAUGUUUCAAAAUCGAAUCUCUUCAAAUCUAUUUUGUUUUCAAUUUACCAUAAAUCUUUCUGAUACCUCCUUAUACAAUUGAAACAUUCGUGUACUUAAGUACAUUUCUGUCACAUGCACAAAGUUCAUGGUCUGUUUUCUCUUAAACAAUUGUUUCGAAAAACUACAACCAAAACAGAUCUGCUAAGCACAAAAAAUCUUGCUGAGAAGAAAUAUGUUGUAAUCCCUUUCAACGGGACACAAUAAAUGCAUUGCCCUGUCGCUGUUUUCAUGCACUUUUCUUAGCAGUAGCUAUUGCUUAGUAGAUUUUUAUAUUAAAGUUAUAGCAAUUGUAAAUGUUGACAUUGUAGUUUAACCCUCCUACUGUUAGAUCAUUUAAAUAUCAUCUGCCAUGGUUUGGAAUGUUGAAUGUACAUGUACAAUGUACUGUGUGUUUGUGUACUAACGACUUCACUGUACACAACUGUGUAACCAUUAACAACCUGUGCAGUUAAAUGGUCUAUACAUGCAAAUGGUUGUUCAAUUCCCUUGAAAAUUACAACAACAGACAGUAGGAGGGUUAAUGAAAGGAACAUGACCAUUAUUGGAUAAUGAUUUUGCAGAACAUCUACAAAACGAUGAUACACUUCAUUGUUCAGUGCUUUGUCAGUCACAUUCACAAAAGGAAGUUUAAAUAUAUCAAGGAUAAUCUUAUCAAAUUCACUGUUUAUUUUCAAAUUCAUCAUGUUUUGUACACAAUUGUGCACAUCACACAAAAGGAAAACAAAAUCAUUAAAAGAAUUGUGUUCUUAGAUUGAAUAAAAUGAAAGAAGGUUAAAAGUAAAUAUCACAAGUUAAAGACAUUCAAGCAAAUUGUUAAUUGGAAUAGACCUAGUACAGAUCAUGUUAAUGUGUAAUUUCAUAGUUAUAAAGAUUGUGGAGACUCGCUUUGCUGUGUGGUUAAUUGACAUAAGUUUGCAUGAAAUUAUUGUUUGAGUAAAAUUAUUAAAGGAUGUGUGUGUAUGAAAA